ACAACAGUGUUCCUUCUGCGUAGUUUGCUUUUUGUAUAGACCGACAAGAAAUAAGGAAGCAAAUGGACUGUCUGUAUUUUUGUCCCCGAAGUACCAAAGGCCGCUCUUUUCCUUUAAGAAGAGCUUGGCCCUUGGGCUUGCUAUUCUAGCUAACUUCCAGUAAUUUAUUCUGGACUUGGCUCUGCACUGGACUGCACACUGUAAUUUCUACUUGGCAAUUUGCUUCCUUGCUCACACGAAGAUCAGUAAGUUUGUGGAAACAAAUCCACCAUCCCUUAUAGGAUUUUCAAUAUUGGAGCUUUAACAAUAGCAUCAUCAGAUAAUUUCUUGUUAUUCGUGUCUGUUGGAGAGCCAGGAGUUAUCAGAGAGCUCCAUCAGUGUGCAAAGGGGUGUGGUGGCUCCGUUAGUUUCUUUCCGAACAAUGGAUUUCCUGUGAAGGUAAACUUACACUCCAGAACAGCCUGAUCUAUUUUAUAACCUGAAACAGAAAGGUGGAACACUUUAUCUGUGGCUUACAAGCAAAAUGCUAUCACCUACUCAAAUAAUGACUCCAGCUGUCCUCCCUCCCAGCACUGCCUUUGCAAAUGGUUUAUACACACACUCGCAAAGGAGGAGCAGCUGAUGCAAGACCUGCCACAGAAAGACGGUCCAAAGGACUGACCCAGCAGCUCAUGUGAAACUCUGCGGAGUUCUGGACAUAAAUACAUCUGUGAACCAAAACCAGUCAGGACAAACACUCUUAAUUGAAUUAAACUUUCAUUAAGCUUGAUUAUUUUAUUUUGCUUUUGACAAAGGCCUUUGCAUUUAUUAUUACAUCUGUGGCUAAAACUGAAAUAGUUUCUAAAUUUCCCAUGGGUAGCUCAUUGUUGUUUCACCCACCAGUGCCUGGCACAAGGGGGAAAACGGUGAGAAAAGCAAGCCAAAUCAAUUUAUCAGUAGUGCUAACUUAUCAGCCCUUUCUCAAAUCACAUGCCCCACAGUGUAACUCGAAUGACCAGUUUUUCCUUCCAUUAGCAAGUACAUUAAGGGAAAGUGAUCUCCCUGCCAGCAAGUGUCAGAUGCACCAGAUACUGUAUCCUAUCUGGACAUUAAAGUUAUAUGCAGGGCCUCCGGCUGGAUUUCGGUUUGGUUUCUAGCAACAUCAGCACAAAGGAACGACCGUGGCUAACAAACAAGUAUAAAGUACAACUUUUUAUCUCCUGAAGUAAAACAAUCUUCCCACAACCAUAAAUUAUCUACCAGUAAAGAAAUUCAGCCUUGACUCCUAGCAGCAGAAAGUAGAAGAGGCCCUUCUCCUGCAGCCAGCCUCCUCUGCUGCAGCCCUGGUCAUGGACAACACCAGCUCUGUCCUCCCCACAUCCUGCUGGAAAGGGGCAUUCCCAGCACCAACAGAAUUCCAGGAGACCUAGGGAAAAGCAGUUGACUGAUGUGUGAGAUGAGCCACAACAGCACGUAGUUCGUGGUAGAUAGACCAGAGAGAGCAACAGAUACAAUCUGUCUAGUCUUACAUUGGCAAACACGAACAAAAAUUUAUUACCAAACUCCACCUAACUGAAUUUACCUUUUUACAGUGUGGCCACAGAACAGCUGCUGCGCCUAUUUCAAAAUGCCAGCUCACAGAAACACAACAGCUGAAGGAUCACUGCUGGGUACUGAAGAGAAACCUUUAUGCUAUUUUGUUACUCAAAACUUAAGUCUCCUUCCUACUAAAUAAAUAAAUAAAUACAAAUACAUGAAGUGGCUUUUGCUGUCUUUGUGGAAUAGUGAAACA
Long non-coding RNA from Gallus gallus (chicken), 1771 nucleotides. NCBI's taxonomy places the organism in Eukaryota, Metazoa, Chordata, Aves, Galliformes, Phasianidae. The record is from Ensembl.